UCACCUGUGUUAAGGAAACAGCGUUAAAGCUCCAGCACAGUGAUUAGCACAGAAAUUCUAAGAUGUUUAAAUUUACAUGGCCUGGUUAAGACAAUGACUGAUGUUUUUACUUGUUCACUGAAAGCACAACUUGAUGCUGCUUGGAGGGACAUACUUAAUAAAUGUAAUCUGGUUAAGUAAUAAUUAUAAAAAAAGAAUAGAGACAGGGACAUUCAGUUGACCGCUUAUAAUCUUCUGUUACACUAAUCAGUACCUUUUUAUUCUCUUCAGACCUCACACUGUACACAGAAACUAUUUCAAAACGGGUCAAGGACCUAAAUGUGAAAACUAAGACCAUAAAAUUCUUAGAAGAAAAUAGAGGCGUGAAGCUGUGGGACCUUGUGUCCCUAUAUCGGGAAACAAUCCAAGCCAUGGUGAAUGAUCUUAGACAAGAAGGCCUUUCCUGGUCUGACUGUGCUAUAAACUAAACAGGGUUACGCUUAGGUCAUUCCAGUUUUCACUACUGCCUCAGAGGACCAUCACAUUGGAGUUUCUUUGGCUUGACCGUGGAAAAUAAAAGCCAGAGGAAAAUGCAGCAGUUUUUAAGUCCCUGGUACUAAAAAAGAACGAAAGAAGUUCUGGUAUCAAAAACGAAACAAGACAAACAAAAAACCUGACCACACAACCUUACAUAGAGAUAUUAUGUCUUAGUUGCCAUCUUUCCCUGGAGGCCACUUGAACAAUGAGACUACAGACUGGGAAUAAACUUGAGGUCUUAGUUACCCAGGUGAGGGGUAUUAAGUAUAACUAGAACAGAGUGGGGUCCAGCGACAAAAACGAGACUGGUAAUGACUUCUUUCAUCCACUCAUAAAGCACUACAAAAAAAAGGUCAAUUGUUAUCACAAUUCUAGACCUGAACAACAUGGCUUUUAUCAAGCUCGAAAACUUUUAGCCUCAAGUAGUGGGAAAGCAAUUAAAGUCUCAGCUCCUCAAAUAUGACACGCAAGGCCUUCAACCAAGAUAUCUUAUCAGGGGUCUCAUGUCCUGUCUCCAAUCACUGCCCCUGUAUAACUGUCACUGGCCUGCUCAUGUAUUUUUAAGAGCUCUAAACUUGACUGUUGUAACCAAACAGCAAGGUCCUUGAGGAAAAUAACUGCGUCUUAAAUCAUGAAUAAGUUUGCUUAAGCAAACUGAAGUUUAAAAAAAGAAGCACCACAUACAAAUACAUGCCAUAAAUGUUCUAUUCUUUCAUUUUACUUUUUGAAAACAGUAAUAAAAACUUCAAGUACAACUGACAAUGUCAAUGCUAAAAGGCUGAACACAGGUACCUGAAUUUCUUGGCCAACUUCUAAUCCCAGGGCACUGGGGUGUCUAAUCUGAAAGAGGACACGUCAACCUGUUAGCAGUUGUGAAGAGUUAUCUAGCAUUCACGGUAAUGCACAUUUUUUUCCUCAAGUGGAAGACAGCUUUGAUUUUUCUGACUGUAAAAUCUGUUAAUUGUAAAGAUUUAAAACAAUACAGAAGUAUCUAGAAGUAUCAUCCGAAGCCCCUGUAUUUGUAGAAGACUACUAACACCCCAGUGAAUAUUCCAGCAAGCAUCUCCUGUGUGUGUAUUCCAUUUAAAAAAACCACCUGUUGUUUUAUAAUUUGCUGAUUUUUCAUUCACCGUUAUGUUGUAGUCAUCUUUUCAUCUAAAAAAAAAAGGUUUACAGUUGAAUGUUCAUAUUGUGUAAUUUAUUUAGCCAGUACCCUAAAGGUGGCUAUUUCAUCGGUUUUAAAUUCCAGGGCUGCAAACGUUACUAUCUGGUGAGUCCACAUGAAAAGCAUGAGUGUUUAGUAUAUUAUUACUCCAAUUGUUCUGUAGGUUUAAAAGUCUUUGAAAUAAAAACUUGAGGAAAAAAGUAAUUUGCAGUGUUUUAAUGAUCUUUCUGGAUGUAUUUAUCCAGUCUACUUAUUGUCUCAUAACAAAGUCCUACGCAGGGGACUUCUAGGUCCAAAAGUACGCACACAAAUGCCCUCCAAAAAGUCUGUCCCAAUUUACACGCCCAUCAACAGUGAUGAGGAAACGCUGGUAGCGUAGUGGUUAAGAGCUACGGCUGCUAACCAAAAGGUUGGUGGUUCGAAUCCACCAGGAGCUCCUUGGAAACCGUUAUGAGGCAGUUCUACUCUGUCCUAUAGGGUCGCUAUGAGUCGGAAUCGACUCGAUGGCAACUGGUUUGGUUUACAACAGUGAUGAGCAUGUCUACCCCUUACCACCAUCUCGUACCCACACUGGGAAUUUUCAGCUAUCUGAAAGUUAAAAAAUGGUACAUUGGUUUAUUUGCAUUUAUGAAAAUUGCUGGUGAUACUGAAUACUUUCUCGUGUCUCUUGGUUGGCUUCUUUUUUUUAAAGUGAUUUGCCUGCCUGUGUUCUUUACUCCUUUUACUCCUGACACUCAUCUUUCUUACUUAGCUAUGAAAGCCCUCUGUAUAUUAAGCACAUGGUACAUCCUGUAAGCACUUUUCCCCUCGUUUUUCAUUUUUCUUUCAACCCUGCUCGUUAUAACUUUUGUUAAAUAAUUAAAAAAAAAAAAACAUUUACAAGGUCAAAUCUUAUCGAGUUAUUUAAGUUGUUGGCUUUAAUAUCACGCUGAGAAAGAUUUUUCCACUUCCAAGAUUAUUAAGGUCUUCAUACUUUCUUCUACUGCCCUUUUCCCUCCUAGGGUCCCCCCCCAUCCCUUUUUUACAUUUAGCUCUUCGAUUCAGACAGAAUUUUAGUGUAAAAGUGAGUAGAGAUCCUGCUUUAUGAUUAUCAGUUGUACCAAUAUUUACUGAGUAACCAUUUCUUUACUGACUUAAAAUGCACCUCACAGCAUGUAUUAAGUUCCUAUGUAUAUAACUGGUUUGUUUCUAGUUUCUUGUUUUAAUUUCCUGUUCUGCGUAUCAUCUGUUUCUGGGCUAGUAACGCACCGUUUCAUUCUCCAUAGCUUUUACCACAUUUUAAUGUUUGGUGAGACAGAUACCCAUAUUACUCCCUCUGUCCCCAUAAUUUUCUGGAAUAUUCUUAUGUGCUUAGUCUUCCAGAUGUAUGAGCUACAGCAAAGAUUAAAUAAACUUUAAAACAUCCUAAGAGCCAUCCUGUGAUGACUGGUUGACCAGAAGAAAACUGGGAAAACAGGGCUGUGGCUAGACAUUUUGAGCAACUGCUGCACGCUUGCUCUAGAAGUUGUUCCACCUCAACACACAAGAGGCGUGUCUGUUCAGUCACGGAAGGAAAAGCAUGAAGUAUCUGUGGUGAAUAAGCCUUUGGAGUGGCCAACAGAUGGGAGGAACGAAAUCAUGUGAGUUUCCUUUCUCCAUCCUCAAUCUUAAGAACUGGCUAAGAUGGCUCUGCUUCUCACCCUCCUUCAGUAACCUCAAAGCUGGUGUUUAAAGUGCUGCCUUAAAAAUUGAUGACUUCUUGAUCAUUCUUCUUGAAUGUAUUUAAAGAUGACCAUUUGCUGAUCUACUAGAGGCAUCAGAAGGUUUACAGUGAAGACAUGUCAUAUCCUUUUCUCCUGGUCUUUCUCUUUAUUUCUCAAACACAGAGUUUUGAAGCAACAGAAUAGAGGUAAAAUGGCACACUUACAUGGUCUAGCAUUAAUAACAAAAUCCCAAACUAAAUACAACUUUUACCUGUU
Loxodonta africana (African savanna elephant) is the source of this 3639-nucleotide long non-coding RNA. RefSeq lists it as uncharacterized. The transcript has 3 exons. Lineage: Eukaryota; Metazoa; Chordata; Mammalia; Proboscidea; Elephantidae. The record is from RefSeq and is a predicted model, not a curated record.